Molecule: non-coding RNA, 796 nt
Organism: Jatropha curcas
Lineage: Eukaryota; Viridiplantae; Streptophyta; Magnoliopsida; Malpighiales; Euphorbiaceae
Source: RefSeq, a predicted model, not a curated record
AACAUAUAGAGGAGAAAAAUGAUAGGGUCAGGGAUAAAUUUGGUGAUGACUGUUAUAGGAUUUGCUGUUAGUACUAUGUUUAUAGUAUUUGUGUGCAACCGUUUAAUUUGCGCUCGGAUUCAGUUAAACGCAUCAAGACGCUCAUUUCCUAUUACUUCCAGAUCUGAUCUUAGCAUUCUGGAACGAGGAUCACAUGGCCUUGAGCCUGUAAUUGUUGCAAACUUUCCAACGAAGAAGUACAAUGAUGAACUUUUCUUGGCAUCAGAAGAUGCACAGCAUUAGCUUAAGUUGUCAGUGUUUCGUAUGCUCACACCCAGGUAAUGGUGUUGGAUACAUGUGCAUCUUACAGACAACUAUAUAUUCGAAAAAGGGAAGUGUUCAAGAAAAUAUUUCCAGAGUCACGUGAUGAGUUUAUGGAGAUGUCGAAUAAAUUUGGUUUUAAGUUUUCCUUUGAAAGGUCAGAAAGCACAACUUUGAAAAGAAGCUCGAGUGUUGGCUCGAAAAGAACACGUUCUGUUAAUGUAGAUGGAGAUGAAUUGCCUUUGAGACUUGAAAGGUUUAAGGUUCGCACAGUAGUUACCGGCGGUGGUGCCCCUGGUGGUGAUAAGGGUGAUUCCAAGUCUGGUGGCGGCGCCGGUGGUGGUGCUUCCAAAUCAAAAUAAAACAUGGUUAAAAACCGAAGGAUUUAUUAAUUAGCCAAACUCAUUGAUGUUUAGUGAUAUUAACUUUCAAGUUGCUAAUUUUUUGUUUUAAAUCAAAUUAUUUUGUUAAAAGAAAUGACUUCAUUGUUUGUUUU